RNAcentral lists this ribosomal RNA (467 nucleotides) under uncultured bacterium. Its description in RNAcentral is "partial 16S ribosomal RNA". It matches the Rfam family "Bacterial small subunit ribosomal RNA", at positions 28 to 506 of the family's 1533-position model. The record is from RNAcentral.
GACGAACGCUGGCGGCGUGCUUAACACAUGCAAGUCGAACGGAAAGGCCCUGCUUUUGUGGGGUGCUCGAGUGGCGAACGGGUGAGUAACACGUGAGUAACCUGCCCUUGACUUUGGGAUAACUUCAGGAAACUGGGGCUAAUACCGGAUAGGAGCUCCUGCUGCAUGGUGGUGGUUGGAAAGUUUCGGCGGUUGGGGAUGGACUCGCGGCUUAUCAGCUUGUUGGUGGGGUAGUGGCUUACCAAGGCUUUGACGGGUAGCCGGCCUGAGAGGGUGACCGGCCACAGUGGGACUGAGAGACGGCCCAGACUCCUACGGGAGGCAGGAGUGGGGAACAGUGCACAAUGGGCGGAAGCAGGAAGCAGCAACGCCGCGUGCGGGAUGACGGCCUUCGGGUUGUAACCAGCUUUCGCCUGUGACGAAGCGUGAGUGACGGUAAUGGGGAAAGAAGCACCGGCUAACUACGU